Molecule: ribosomal RNA, 119 nt
Organism: Cricetulus griseus (Chinese hamster)
Lineage: Eukaryota; Metazoa; Chordata; Mammalia; Rodentia; Cricetidae
Source: Ensembl
GUCUAUGGCUAUACAACCCUGAAUGCACCCGAUCUCGUCUGAUCUUGGAAGCUAAGCAGGGUCAGGCCUGGUUAGUACUUGGAUGGGAGAUGGCCUGGGAAUAUUGGGUGCUUUAGGCA